UGUAUAAUCUCAUUCCAUCAUUAAUAUUGGUCAUUGUUGGUAUAUAUUUAUCUUCAAGUUUAACAAUGUACUGUGAAAGAGCUAUCUUCUAACAGAUACUUCAUAUUUUGGUUAUUGUGAAACCACUGAUUCAAAGGAAAAGUUUCACUUAUUGCCUUUUUGAAGAUACAGACUUUAUAAUGUUGUUUUUAUUGACAAAACCUUGCUAGCAUUAAAGAAAAGUUAUUCCAUGUCAGUAUCAUUUGGUUCAAAAAAUAUAUGUUUGUGUUGCUUUUUUUAACGUUAUUUGUAUUAUUAUCUCCCAUGCUAUCAAAUUUGCACUUAAAACCACUUUUCUCAUCCUAGCAUUGAAAAGAUAUCUCAGUUCCAUUAAUAGGGCUGAAGAAUAUAAUUUAUUUGGCUUUUGGUAUAAUGCAGAGUGCACAAAGACUCUAAUAAAAAAAAUAACAUGCAUGCACUCAUAUGGACCCAUCAGGAUUAGCCAUAAUCUCAAUUCUGAAUACCAUGUUAUGUUCAUAAAAUGGUUGUGCCAAUACAAUCUGGUAACCUAUAGAUGUAAUACCACCAUUGAUUUUCCCCUACAGUCUUUGUUAAAU
This 596-nucleotide long non-coding RNA is filed under the name Mytilus galloprovincialis (Mediterranean mussel). The record is from RNAcentral. Lineage: Eukaryota; Metazoa; Mollusca; Bivalvia; Mytilida; Mytilidae.